GCACCUGCCUAAACCUUCCUCUUCUCGUGCGUCCUUGCUUUCGAAAGGAAAGCCAGAGGUGCGUGCAGGUCCACUUCCGCUCUGGCGCCAGAACCCGUCGACACAGGCGCGCACACCAUAGUUUCUCCCUCCUCCUUCUCGCUCUGCUCUAAUUUUUUUUUGCCGUUCUGCUGUAUUCUGUGUAAUUCCGCAGGGUGGAAGCCAAGGGGGAGGGAAGAGAGCUGCACGAAAUCGUGAGCGUGCGUGCGUGCGCGUGUGCGCGGAGCAAGGGGAGGGAGGGGGGAGAUAUAAUAAAAAGGACGCAUCCCGCGGUGCUCGCCUCCUCGCCUCUCUACGCCUUUUCCGUCGUUCCUCGUUGUCGGCUUCGCGUUGUCGGCUCCUCUGUUUCUGCCCGGUGCUAUCGCACCCGCAAGGGCCGGCGCACACCACGACGGACGCGCGACAAGUGAGUGACAGGACAUGGUAGCGGCGACAGCAGCACCACGACGGCCAACAAAACCCACACAAGGCAAUGCAUUUAGAGAUUUACGUCAGGAGAAAGGCACUGCUCACAUCGCACCCUCGUUCUCCACCUCUCCACCCCACGCAUCUAUUCAGUGACACAUACGCACGACGCGCCGUCUUCUUUUACAGUUCUCUGUGUGCGCGUAUGCGUGCGUAGCGAACAGCGCCCCCUCCCCUCCUCCAAACAAUAACAGCAGCAGCAGCACCGACGAACGGGUACGACAGAUGGAGGAAAGCCAACGGUAAACAACAGUAAUACUGGAGAAAAAACAUCGGCGGCCCACGAACGGGAAAGGAGGAGGAAGUGGAGGGAGGAGGGAUGCAGCAGGCAGCAGCGCCUCAUCUUUCCGCUCUCCGCUCUUUUUCUUGAUGGCUUGCUUGCUUGCUUGAGCCUUCGUAGACGUCGCCAUCAUGAAGGCGCAUCCAAACCAGAUUGGCUGCUACCUCCUCACCGAGGUGAGUCACGAGGAUGGCUUCGUGAUAUCGGAGGGCCACGAGGUCUAAAAUCCCAACCGGCACCUCCGUGCCAAGGCCUUCCUGAAGGACCGUGUCGCGCCGGAGAACAUUAGCGCGCGUAUUGGCAUUGAGGAGAGUGUGCUUGGCCGCAGCGUAGCGUAUCUGCGAGCUCUCUGUCGCGCCCUUGAGCAAGAGGAGGGCAAAAGCGUGCUCGUCAGCAACGACAGCUUAGCCGAGUUGGAGAGCUCGACCCCUUUAGCCAGUCCCGUCUUGCAUACUUCCGCCUUCCCAGCGGUGGCCAUCAUCGACGCCGAUGUGCCGCUUGGGUUCCGCUGCCCCCGACACGUGCUGCUCAUACACGAUAGGAUGCGAAGUGCCUCGAAAAUAUGCCUGAUACGGGAUUUUAUGCCCACCAGCGUUCAAAACAUCCUGGAACACGGGCGCUUACCCGAGGCAGGCGCCUUCUUUUAUUUCUACCAGCUUGCCAUGGCUGUGCAUUUCUCGCACCUGCAUCACGUCGUGCACCGCAGUAUUAGCACUGACCACACGUACCUAUCCAAGCGGGGCAUGCAGGUACACUUGGGAGGAAUGGGCGGGUGUGUUCUGGAGAAGCAGCGCAGCAGCGGCGGUCGUGUGACUCUCGAGCCCCAGCGGCAGCAGCAACACCUCUCCGCCCCUCGGCAGCGACACACGCGCUGCUGCCCCCCCUCCCCCCCUCCCCGCUGGGAUCGUACGGCAUCUGCAGCAAUUGCCACGGCGAUGCUUCGAUCGUGGCCCAGGCGCCAGAUGCGGCCAUGAACUCGAGCUCCGCGGCCACGACCGGGCACCCAACAUCGGUUGGCGGCGGGGCCCCGCCGCUGAACAUGCUCUUCACCACGUGUCGCCACUGCGGCGUGUACCAGAGCCGCCUACAGGUACUGCAGACCGCUACGGGCACGCCGGGUUACCUGGCGCCGGAAACACUAGCAUAAAAGCUGCCGAACUCGCUCAUGUGCACCGGCUCUCGGUCCCCGGUGACGCCAGCCUCGCCACACUCACAGCCUGGGCGCUUAACAGACAGUCAGGCACGCGACAUCUGGGCUUGCGGUGUGGUGCUGUACUACAAGCUCAUUGCAUCACUGCCCUUCGAUCCGCUAGUGCAGGGUGGGACGGUGCUGCCGUCGAACUUGACGCGCACGCCGCAGCAGGUGUACGACGUGCGCUGCCGUAUUGUAGCGAUGGAAUACCAGAUCCCGGCGCACUUGUCCAUCAUCUGCCGACAGCUGAUCGAGUGGACCCUGCAGAAGGAUCCGCAACGGCGGCCCAGCGCGCUUGAGAUUCUUCGGCAUCCGGCACUGGCAAGGGUGCGCGCCUCGGUGCUGGGGAUAUGACCGCUGCCACGUGUGGGCGACUCGGUUGCCUGCACGUGGGUGUGGGUGUAUGCCCGUGUUACCUCGCUACAGAGAAUCAUGAUGGGCGCAAGCAAAAGCAUCAGAGCGAUAGAGGGCGAGUGAAUAAGAGUGAGAGAAGGAGCCGCCCGCGCGUCUGUGGCUGUGUCUGUGCGGUGCUUCCUGCUGAGCGCUUGACCGCCGCCUCAUCGCUGGGGACUCGACCAAUGGGCUGGAUGGGGUGCGACGAGUGAGACGGCGGCGGCAAAGAGGGAUGAGGGAGACGAGAGGCAACGACAAGCCAAGCGAGUCGCUCCCUCUCUUGUGUGCCUGCUCUCCCUCUUCCCCCCCCCCCCCCCCCCCCCCGCACACCCCACACCCCACUCAGCACUCGUUACGGUAUAACUCGUCUUUUACAGAAAUGUGCGUAUACGCGUGUGUGUGUCCUUUUCGCGUUUUCAACUCUCCUCUCUCUCUCCCCGCUGGUGGCGAGCGUCUUGUUGUGUUCUAAUGUGUCGUAACGGUGUGCGGGCGUUCCGCUUACCCUUCCGUCUUCCCACUCCCGCUGUUUUUUUUUUUUUGCUUGUUCCCUCUCCACAUAUCCUUAUAUCCAUAUAUAUAUAUAUAUGUAUACAUAUUAUGUACGUGUGGGCAUGUAUUUAUGUCUUCCGCUUCACGAGGACAAACCUCAACGCUUCACGUUCUUUCUCCCCCUCUUCCCUCCUUCUCCCCUGUGUGAUCCUCCUUGCUCCCAUGUGUCCUCUCCUCUAACCUGCUCCCCCGCCUUCCUGCCCUCUUCUUCGCACCUCGCCGUUUCUGUUUUGAGUGUGCUGUCGUAUGCCACUCCCGUCACCUAACCCCUCGACUCCACCCACCCCUGCCGCAUGCUUAUUAUUAUUCUUGCUCUUCAUUUCGGUGGUCCAUACCCGCAUGCACUUCCGCCGCCGCCCAUCUCCUCUGCUCCCUCGUUUUUUUCCCUCUCGGCGACUCGGCGCAUGCGCUGGAUAUUGUCUUCCUUCGGUGUCCUAGCACCCUUUUCAUUGCUAUCUUCCCACGUAUAUACCCAUACCUAGACAUAUGCGUGUAUGCCCACAUAUAUAUGUUAUAUACGUAUAUAUAUAUAUAUACGUAAGUGCUGAAAUAUAUGGUUUUGCUGCUCACUCGCACCACACCUCUGCUUUGCUUACGCCCCCCUGCCCCUGGCCCUGCCCCUGCCUCCUCCCCUCACCUCUCCGCUUCCCCCCAAAAAAAAACAUAAAACAUAAAACAAAAGGAAAACAAGAAGCGGAAAUCUGCGUCGCGUGCAUCUCUCUUUUCCCGCCCCUCUUUUCUGCAUCCUCUGUCGUCGUCUUCGCAUGUGUAUAGACACACACACACAUAUAUAUAGUACACAUGCAUAUAUGUAUAUAUGUAUAUAUGUAUAUAUGUAUAUAUGUAUAUAUGUAUAUAUGUAUAUAUGUAUAUAUAUGUAUGUAUAUAUGUAUGUAUGUAUGUAGUAUAUAUGUAUAUGCAUACGCAUCGUUGCAUCUUUACAUACACACGUGCAUAGAUGUUUGGGCGUGCGAUGAUGCAUCCGCGUUCUUCACGCGGGCCGUCCCGCGCUGCUGCCAUUUGUGUCAAGGCGUGACUGCUGCAGCACUCCUGAUGGUUCCUCCCUCCUCACCUUCGCCCUUGUGCGUGCUUUUGCGAGAGAGUCUCAUCUACUCUGCGAACGUCUCAAUGAGCCAGAGACACACACCUAUUUCUUCUAUCUGCUCAUUUUCCUUCUCCGGCGCCGCUACUUCCAUCGCUGUUACUUUCUCCCUGGUGCACCCUCCCCACCUUCCCUCCCUCCUUCCUCCCUCGACGACCCAUCAUGACAGUGCCUUCUCCCUUUCUUCGCUGACCAAAGCAGCUGAAACCCUUUUCCCUUCCCUUCCCUUCCCUCUCUCUCACACUGUAUUCCCCUCCGCAGCUGCUCUUCUGCACGCUAAGAAGGGUGUUUACGUCCAUCGUCUAUAUCAUGUGUGUCGCAUGUUCGUUCUUCCCGAACCUGGGGGUCUAUGCUCAUAUGUGUGUGUGCGUGCGUGCGCAGCUGUGCUGCCUCUUCAUUGUUUCCUCGAACAUUUUUCCCGUUUUCUUUUCGUGUUGGUGCUCGUCCUUCGCGCGUGAGGCGCGUUCUUUCUUCUGCGUGAGCGCGUCUUCCUCGCUCUUGUCUGCACCCUCCCUCCUCCUUCCUCCACCGGCACACCCACACACUCCUCUCCCUCUUUUCCUCCCUCUGUUCCUGCCGCACCUCGUCCGCCCCUGGUAAACUCUGGUUCAGCCCCAUUACACGACCCUCACACGCGCGCGCGUACACACGUCUUCCUUUUUUUUGGAAUUUGUGUGCGCAUGUGUGCGUGUCUGCGUGCCGUUGCUUUCCCAUGCUUGGCGUGCGCAUGUACGCGUACCACAGGUGUAGGCCUCCGAGUCUUGCUUUUCGUGUGCGUGUGUGGACCCGCUUGUGUGUGGACCCGCUUGUGUGUGUGGAUGCCUCCAUACACCGGCGGCGGCAGCAGCAGCAACAGCAGCGGGGGCGAGGUGAGGGCGGGCACCGGCCGGACCAUGCAGCAGCAGUAGCAGCAGCAGUAAUAGAUGGUCUUCAGUGGACGCACAUGCGCGUUGCGUGCCAAGUGUAACUCCAGUCAGAAAAGAGAGCGAGAGACGAGGCGAGCGACAA
Molecule: unclassified non-coding RNA, 5028 nt
Filed under: Leishmania donovani
Lineage: Eukaryota; Euglenozoa; Kinetoplastea; Trypanosomatida; Trypanosomatidae
Description: gene:LdHU3.07.1020(CDS-product:Protein_kinase_dom ain_containing_protein-_putative)
Source: RNAcentral